RNAcentral lists this long non-coding RNA (2486 nucleotides) under Linum usitatissimum (flax). Its description in RNAcentral is "long non-coding RNA (LUSI_LNC002854)". Lineage: Eukaryota; Viridiplantae; Streptophyta; Magnoliopsida; Malpighiales; Linaceae. The record is from RNAcentral.
AUCAGUUCUUCGCAAUGGCGAGGGUACUUUUUCUGGACCAACUGCUGGGUUGAUGCUGGGUUCGAGCUGACCGAACACCCUACAAUUUGAUUAUUAAUGCAGAUCAGUAUGGAGCAGGGCUUGAUUGGAAACCUAUUUGGAAGUGGUGUGGACCGAAUCGGCUAUGUCAUUUCCUUUUGUUGACUGCUCAUGGGCGUUGGAUGACGAACUUUGAGCGAUGUCGUCGACCUCUUACCACGGUGGAGGACUGUCAACGAUGUCUGUCAAUUUUGGAGGCUAUCGCUCAUACUCUCCGCGAUUGUAAAUUUGUUGCAGAGAUUUGGGAACUUCUUGGCUUUCCGUUUGAGCAUGUGACGAAGUGGAAUAAACCGUAUUGAGGAAGUGGGUUGGCACUUUGGUCCGACCGGAUGGAUGGUUCUCAAUACUGAUGGAUCUGUGCUGGAUGGUGGGAGUCGAGCCUCUGCGGGUGGUCUUAUUCGCGAUGAAAUCGGCCGUUGUUUUUAUGCUUUCACCAUCAAUCUUGGCACCUGCUCGAUCACCCGAGCCGAGAUGUUGCGCAUCUGGGAUUCCGUCCGAGUUCUGGCCUUCUUAGAUUCCCAAGCUGCUAUUGAUUUGUUUACUCAAUGAGCGAUAUUUCUCAUAAUAACCAAGCGGAAGUGUUGGAUUUCCCCCGAAAUUCAGGGUCGUGAUUGGAUUAUUGAGCUUCGAAAUUCAUACGAAGAAGCUAACCAAGCGGCAGAUAACUUGGCCAGUAGGGGCAUGGCUCUUCCUUGUGGUUUUCACUCGAUCCCUGUUUCAAAUUCUAGAAGGACUCGGAACUACUGUGUUUAUAAAAUGGACAUGCAUGGUAAGUUCUGAAAAAGGUGACAAGAUUCAGCAGAGUAAAGAGUUUCAGAAUCAGAACUCAGAAGUCAGAGCUCUGGGGGCAUGUGAUUCUUCUGCCAACGCCACAGUGUCCUCCAGGACCUGGGACCUCGGUAAAAAAAGAAGAAUUGAAAGCUACCUGUCCAAUGAAUUUAAUGUGUUGAAUAAUUUACUAGUCUCACAAACCUCCAGUAUACAACAAUAUGGUACACAGUACAACAAAAGUGUUUCUGUUGCUUUCUUUCUUUAUUUAUUUUAUUUUUGGUUUUACUGCCGUACACAUAAUUUCACCCCAUUUAGUUGAUAGAUCGCACGGCCCCUCCCAUUGUCAUGUGAUCGUAAGCUAAACUCAUCUAAUCGGUCUAACUUAAUACAUGCCACUCAAUUAAAUCGAUCCAAAUAUCUUCUAACGCAACCCAUUUAGUUUUUGUACAAGGUAGAAAAUUAACGUGAUUGGGCGGUGAGUGUCCCCACAAGGUUACUCUAUCAGCUUGGUUGCUCAUGAUGUAUAUGAUUACAACCUGAAUAUGAAUACAUAUAAUGUUCUUUUUUUAUAUAUAUAUCUCGUCCUAAUAACUAAAUUGGUUCAAGAUUGAUAUGUAAAGAUGUAAAUUGAUUAUGGAGUGACCAAACUUAAUACAAUGAUCAAUUUUGAAACACAAAACAUUUGUGGAGUUGAGAAAGUGAAAAGACUUGGUCAACAAGCCAAUUUGAAAUGAAACAACUUGGUCAACAAACCAAAUUUUCACGUCAGACAAAAAGUAAACCAAGGGAUUCCACCUAAAUAUGGAUGGGUUCAAGAUCAACCCUCCACUCCAUAUAUUGAAUCCCUCUCAAAUCACAACACCAAAAUCCCAGCACAUUCAAAGUUAAAAUCAAAGGCUUCCCAAUACAAAUCUCAAACCAGCCUUUAACCAAUUCUUAGGUAGCAAGUAAAAUGGGAGGAACAGAAGAGACGGAGAAGAAGUACGACGGUGGCGAAGAGGAAGAACACCACAAGAAGAAGAAGGACAAGGAUCAUGAGGAGCAGUCCGGGGAGAAAUCCAAGGAGAAGAAGGACAAGAAGAAGAAAGACAAAGAAGGUAAGAAUAAGGAGGGUGAUGAUGACGGCCACAAGGAGAAGAAGAAGAAGAACCCUGAAGACAAGAAUGACCCUGCUAAACUCAAGGCUAAACUGCAGAAGAUCGAAACCCAGAUGCAGGAAUUGACCCUGAAGAAAGAAGACAUCCUUAAACGAAUCCACGAAGCUGAAUCUAACCCUCCUCCCCCGUCCGAGUAAAUAACAUGUUAUUCUGGUAACGAACGAUUACCGAAAUAAACAUAUUUAGUUCUAUGGAGAUCAGUGUUCUGUAUGUACUGUAUAACACUGAACCUUUAAAUAAAGAUGAUGUAUUUAUUGUACAUGUUGUUCAACUGUUAAGUUAUACUGUGAUUGAAUAACUACGGACAAAAGUGCAUUAGCAAUCAAUACAGCUAGCUAGCAAGAAAAGUUGUUGAAGAGCGACUGAGGAAACCAGAGACUUAAUAACAAGAGAUUCUGAAAUCAAUUAUUACAGUGAGGAUCGAGGAAAGACUUUUACCUGUUGACGGCUAUUGAGUAUUGAGACGGCCACGACGGAGAU